Coffea arabica (coffee) is the source of this 414-nucleotide non-coding RNA. The record is from RefSeq and is a predicted model, not a curated record. NCBI's taxonomy places the organism in Eukaryota, Viridiplantae, Streptophyta, Magnoliopsida, Gentianales, Rubiaceae.
UCUUCCCCCAAACUUCUCUCUCCGCCCUCAGACUUCACCUCAUGUCUUAGCUUACUUCUUGUCACUACUCAACUCACAGCAUUUACUGAUAAAAUUUAUUUUUUUUGGUUUCCCUAAUUCAUUCCUACCUCGGUUCAUUCUCUCUUUCUGGAAAGCUUCGUGACGGAUGAGCAAUGUAUGUCGGUACCUGUAUCGAACUCCGCAUUCUUUCAGUUCCUCUGUGAAAAUUCUAAGUUCCAAGUGAAGUAGAUCACUUCCUAGCUCGCUCGCUUUUGACUUAGAAGUUGGGGAUUUGAAUCUCAACUUCCAGCUAGCGUUUCUCCCUUCAAUUCUUAUAUAAUUUGAAUUACGAUUUAAGAAGCUAAGUGGUUAAAGGGAUGACUGCUGAUCCUGGAUUUGCUUACUGUAUAAUUU